This 300-nucleotide ribosomal RNA is filed under the name Bembidion lachnophoroides. RNAcentral describes it as "eukaryotic LSU rRNA". It matches the Rfam family "Eukaryotic large subunit ribosomal RNA", at positions 97 to 376 of the family's 3401-position model. The record is from RNAcentral. Lineage: Eukaryota; Metazoa; Arthropoda; Insecta; Coleoptera; Carabidae.
ACAGGGAGAAGCCCAGCACUGAAGCCCGUGGUCGGAAACGGCUACUGGGCAAUGUAGUGUUUGGGAGAGCCCGUUUAACCCGAGUAUUGUUAGCGUGUCCAAGUCCUUCUUGAAGGGGGCCACUCGCCCGUAGUGGGUGCCAGGCCCGUAGUGACCGUUGAUAUGUUCGGGUGGGUUUCUCCUUAGAGUCGGGUUGCUUGAGAGUGCAGCUCUAAGUGGGUGGUAAACUCCAUCUAAGGCUAAAUAUUACCACGAGACCGAUAGCGAACAAGUACCGUGAGGGAAAGUUGAAAAGAACUU